This 253-nucleotide ribosomal RNA is filed under the name uncultured bacterium. Its description in RNAcentral is "partial 16S ribosomal RNA". It matches the Rfam family "Bacterial small subunit ribosomal RNA", at positions 524 to 776 of the family's 1533-position model. The record is from RNAcentral.
UACGGUGGGGGCAAGCGUUGUUCGGAAUUACUGGGCGUAAAGGGCUUGUAGGUGGCCAACUAAGUCAGACGUGAAAUCCCUCGGCUUAACCGGGGAACUGCGUCUGAUACUGGAUGGCUUGAGUUCGGGAGAGGGAUGCGGAAUUCCAGGUGUAGCGGUGAAAUGCGUAGAUAUCUGGAGGAACACCGGUGGCGAAGGCGGCAUCCUGGACCGACACUGACACUGAGGAGCGAAAGCCAGGGGAGCAAACGGG